UACGGAGGAUGCAAGCGUUCUACGGAAUUAUUGGGUUUAAAGGGUGCGUAGGCGGUAUGCUAAGUAAGUGGAGAAAGCCUGUGGCUCAACCAUAGAACUGCCAUUGAUACUGUUAUUCUUGAGUAUAGUUGAAGUGAGUGGAAUGUGUAAUGUAGCGGUGAAAUGCUUAGAUAUGACACAGAACACCAAUUGCGAAGGCAGCUCUCUAAGCUGUUACUGACGCUGAGGAAUGAAAGCGUGGGGAGCACACAGG
This 253-nucleotide ribosomal RNA is filed under the name uncultured bacterium. Its description in RNAcentral is "partial 16S ribosomal RNA". It matches the Rfam family "Bacterial small subunit ribosomal RNA", at positions 524 to 776 of the family's 1533-position model. The record is from RNAcentral.